This 2056-nucleotide unclassified non-coding RNA is filed under the name Thrips palmi. Its description in RNAcentral is "nADP-dependent malic enzyme-like, transcript variant X1". Lineage: Eukaryota; Metazoa; Arthropoda; Insecta; Thysanoptera; Thripidae. The record is from RNAcentral.
CGCGCCGCUAGCCCCAUGCCGCCAGUCGGGACACCGGCGUUCGCGUAGCAGCAGUGUAGCAGCACGCAGAGGACGACGAGGACGCCGACAUCGAAGUGAAGCCAGUGUGUUUUGCCGCCCCAGGUCCGCCAACAGCACCGCCAUGGCCGACCAGCUCAAGGACCGCCUCGCCCACGUGAGCCUGGACCACGCCGACAGCUCCAACCGCGCCUGCGGCCUGGACCACCUGAGGGACCCCCGCCUCAACAAGGGCAUGGCCUUCUCCCUGGCCGAGCGUCAGGCCCUCGGCAUCCACGGCCUGCUGCCGCCCCGCUUCAAGACCCAGGAGGAGCAGCUGCAGCUGUGCAAGAUCAACAUCGACCGCUACACCGACCCCCUCAACAAGUACAUCUACCUGAUGGGGCUGCAGGACCGCAACGAGCGGCUGUUCUUCCGCUUCCUCUCCGAGAACGUCAACGAGUUCAUGCCCAUCGUGUACACCCCCACCGUGGGCCUGGCCUGCCAGAAGUUCGGCCUCAUCUACAGACGGCCGCGCGGCCUCUUCAUCACCAUCCACGACAAGGGCCACGUCUACGACGUCAUCAGAAACUGGCCUGAGAGUGACGUUCGCGCCAUCGUGGUGACCGACGGCGAGCGCAUCCUCGGCCUGGGCGACCUCGGCGCGUACGGCAUGGGCAUCCCCGUGGGCAAGCUGGCCCUGUACACGGCGCUGGCCGGCAUCAAGCCCAGCCAGCUGCUGCCCGUCACCCUGGACGUGGGCACCAACACCCAGUCCCUGCUCGACGACCCGCACUACAUCGGCCUGCGCCAGAAGCGCGUCAGCGGCGCCGCGUACGACGAGUUCAUCGACGAGUUCAUGAAGGCCGUCAUCCGGCGCUUCGGCCAGACCACCCUCAUCCAGUUCGAGGACUUCGGCAACCACAACGCCUUCCGCCUGCUGGAGAAGUACCGCGACAGCUAUUGCACCUUCAACGACGACAUCCAGGGCACCGCCUCCGUGGCCGUCGCCGGCAUCCUGGCCUCGCUCCGCGUCACCAACACCCGCCUCUCCGACAACGUGCUGCUCUUCCAGGGCGCCGGCGAGGCGUCGCUCGGCAUCGCCGGCCUCUGCGUCAUGGCCAUGAAGAACGAGGGCACCUCCGAGGCCGAGGCCCUGAAGCGCAUCUGGCUGGUGGACUCCAAGGGCCUGAUCGUCAAGAACCGCCCCGAGGGUGGCGUCACCGGCGAGAAGGUCCGCUUCGCCCAGGACCACGCCCCCGUCAAGACGCUCACCGAGGCCGUGAAGCUCGUCAAGCCCUCCAUCCUGAUCGGAGCCGCGGCCAUCGGCGGCGCCUUCACCCCCGAGAUCCUGCAGACCAUGGCCGCCAACAACAAGCGCCCCAUCGUGUUCGCGCUCAGCAACCCCACCAGCAAGGCGGAGUGCACGGCCGAGGAGGCCUACAACCACACCAAGGGCCAGGUGGUGUUCGCCAGCGGCUCCCCCUUCGACCCCGUCACCUACAACGGCAAGACCUACCACCCCGGCCAGGGCAACAACGCCUACAUCUUCCCCGGCGUCGCCCUCGGCGUCAUCUGCGCCGGCGUCAAGCACAUCUCCGACGAGAUCUUCUUCCUCGCCGCCCAGACCCUGGCCAACCUCGUCUCCCAGAAGGACCUCGACUCCGGCAGCCUGUACCCGCCCCUGGAGGACAUCCAGCACUGCUCCUCCGUGAUCGCCGAGGCCGUCGCCGAGCACGCGUACAAGACCGGGGUGGCCAGCGCGUACCCCAAGCCCACCGACAUGAAGGCCUUCAUCCGCUCCCAGCAGUACGACCCGCACUACUCGUCCUCCCUGCCCGCCAUGUACUCGUGGCCCGACGCCUAGGGGGGCACCGGGGCGGCGCGAGGACGCCGACGGAGGCCGAGGCGGCCGCGACCAGGCAUUGCCAACGUGUACCCGGAGCCUGCGGACAAGAAGACCUUCAUCCACAGCGCCCAGUACAACUACCAGUACGCCUGGUCCUCCGCCCUGCCCGCCGUCUACGACUGGCCCAACGGCGCCGGCGCGCACAUCUCC